UGAGGACAAGGUGAUGAAACUCUCUCUCUUUUCUUUGAACUAUUCACCUCUAAAAAUUUGUCUCCUUUGGUUAAAUGAUUCUGGAUUUUGGCAUAACUGUGCAGACAUCAUAGCCUACAGUUUUCUAGAGUGUCACAAAUUGUAAACAUAUGUGCACUGCCUGUAUUCAUGCAAAUGAUCAAGAAGUUGAAAAGCUAAGCGGCAUGAGUGGUGCUAUCAAUUUGUAUGGUUGCAAAGGAUAAUUGUUGUGAUGUUAACCUGGCUUAAAUUUCAGUUUACAGAAGAUUUUUAACGAGACAAAUUGCUAUCCAAGUAUGUGUACUAACUGCAAAGUGAUUUUUAAUCAACUUCACUACUAUAAUAGGAGUCACAACAUAUCAGCUUUGGGAUAAAGUAACCAACCAAUGCUAAAAGUCGGGAAUAACAGUAUUCUCAUGUCUUAUGACAUAUCCUCAAUCUUGUUAAAUUUCUGUGAGGCCAAGUUGAAGAGUGAUUAAGUGGGGUUUAUGUGCAAUAAAGGCUACUUCUAAAUGCAUAAUUGACAUAGAAACUAAUCCUGCAUCAAAGAGAAAUCCAAGUACUGCAGUGAAAAGAGUUUAUUUGAUAGAGUAUCCUGUGGCUGUUUCUAGAAAUUUAAGUUUCUUCUGGAUCAUAAAACUAACACAAAAGCUGGUGAGGUAGAUAGAUGAAUGAGGUCUGGGGCCAGGGGAGUCAUGUUAGUUAGCAUGUAUUACAUUACUUAGUACUUAGCAAUCCACUUCUGAUUUGUGACUUCACUGUCUUGUUAGAUUCUCAGUAGAAAACAAAAUUUAAUUAUUACAGCUGCUCGCUUCCACUGGAUGGGUGUUUAAGAAAAAUAUCAGUAAGAACUAAAUGAAAAACUGCUAACAUUCCAAGAUGGCAGACGAGCUCAAUUAGGACGGUGCAAAUUAUUAACUUCAACUUUUAAGGCAACAGCUCAUUCCAGAAUUCUUUUAGCAUUUUGCUGCCUAUCUUAUGCAUGCACAUGAUUGAUGCCAAGGACUUUUGCAUGUAUAUUCAAGUUUAAAUUUAUUUAACUUAUUUAUUUAUUUUUUUAAAAAAAUUUUGUUUGUUUUUCAUGCAUAGUCAAUUCACAGAAUUGGGAAGCCUUUAAAUCAU
Molecule: unclassified non-coding RNA, 1140 nt
Filed under: Hevea brasiliensis (rubber tree)
Lineage: Eukaryota; Viridiplantae; Streptophyta; Magnoliopsida; Malpighiales; Euphorbiaceae
Source: RNAcentral